CUCCGACUCGGAAAGCAGACAGGUAGACAGCCCAGCAUUGAACACCACAAGGUUGGAUAACAAGGAUUGGUCGUUAGGAAGGAAGGUCAAGAAACUGUCAGUCACGGCUGUCAAGGAAGACUGUGUAGGAGUUUUCAAACUAGUGAGCAAGCCUGUGACAACGGUGGCAAGGAAAAACUCCCUCAGACUACAUGAGGAAGAAACAUCAAGAGGAGCCAGA
This is a long non-coding RNA of Neoarius graeffei (lesser salmon catfish), 220 nucleotides long. RefSeq lists it as uncharacterized. The record is from RefSeq and is a predicted model, not a curated record. NCBI's taxonomy places the organism in Eukaryota, Metazoa, Chordata, Actinopteri, Siluriformes, Ariidae. The transcript is spliced from 3 exons.